UGGGCACACGUGUUAGAAGAAGAAGAGUUUGGUUUUCUCUUUCUUUCUCCCGAAGGAUGAGUUCGACGAUUGAGUCUCAUUCCAUCUCUUCCUUAGUCGAUCUCUCCUCGAUUCACCACUCCAACAAGAGGAAUGGGAACGUCGGCGUAACUGUUCCGGUGCCAUGGCUUUCAUUUGGUGCGUACGCAGGUGAGCUUCUAGGUUAGCUUCCGUGUAUGGUAAUCGGAUGGUUCGAGUCCGAUCCAUCUCCUCCGUUGUUUACCGUCCGUCUCUAGCUCGCAACCCAUCUCCGUUUAGUCCUUUUGCCCUUUACUCGACGGCUAUUGAUCGGAUGAGCUCCGAGCAAUCGCUUCUCCGCGUGAUUGACUCCGAGAUCAACACUGCUCUCCAAAUCAAUGAUCCUGAUUUGCAAAAGUGGUGGUGGAAUUGUCUAGCAAGAGCUUGUUCAAGCAGCUGUUCUGCUUCAUCCUUCUUUUGUUACGGUCGAUGAUAUCAAGAUUUGGUGCAGGUGGGAAGGUGUCAAUUGCUAUACUAGGAGCUGAGAUUGAUCGGUUGUCCCCACCAGCACUCUUGAAACAAUUUGAGGAGAUUCUUGCUUCCAAACCCGAGGUAAAGCCUCUGCUUCUUCUGUAACUCAACAAGUUUCAUCUUUUUGAAACUAUAGAAGUUAAAGUAAUUGACUUGUAAAACGGGAAUGCGUAGGACAAGAAUAUGCUAUUUGCAUGGGACAAGUGAAUGUGAGCAUACUAGCAAACUAUUGUCUUGGUGAUCAUAAAAUAUUUAUGUUUAAUAAAAAAAAAAAUUCUUAAGAACCCUUAAUUUAAGAACCUACCAUUGGAGCAAUUAAACUAAAUGUUUCUUAAAAAAAAGUUCUUAAUCUACAUUUAUUAUUAAAAUACUCAUUAAGAACUCCUAAUGGGGUUCCAUGGUUAAUCAUGCUCUUAAACCCUCAACUAUGUUUAUAUUUAAAUAAUUCUUCAACUAAAAAAUGUUACUAAAUUUGACCUUCCAUCGUUGAAAACGUUUGAUCCCUCAAUGGCUUCCGUCAAAAUAUAAGAAAUGAUUAUUUUCUGUGUGACAAAACAACUUUUUUCAAGAUUCUUCGAAAUAAUAACA
Long non-coding RNA from Brassica oleracea var. oleracea, 1116 nucleotides. RefSeq lists it as uncharacterized. The record is from RefSeq and is a predicted model, not a curated record. NCBI's taxonomy places the organism in Eukaryota, Viridiplantae, Streptophyta, Magnoliopsida, Brassicales, Brassicaceae. The transcript has 3 exons.